This 274-nucleotide ribosomal RNA is filed under the name uncultured bacterium. RNAcentral describes it as "partial 16S ribosomal RNA". It matches the Rfam family "Bacterial small subunit ribosomal RNA", at positions 523 to 796 of the family's 1533-position model. The record is from RNAcentral.
AUACGGAGGGUGCGAGCGUUAAUCGGAAUUACUGGGCGUAAAGGGUCCGUAGGCGGUCUGCUUAGUCUGAUGUGAAAGCCCCGGGCUUAACCUGGGAAUGGCAUUGGAUACUGGCGGACUAGAGUCUGGUAGAGGGUGGUGGAAUUCCCGGUGUAGCGGUGAAAUGCGUAGAUAUCAGGAGGAACACCAGUGGCGAAGGCGGCCACCUGGACCAAGACUGACGCUUAGGGACGAAAGCGUGGGGAGCAAACAGGAUUAGAAACCCUUGUAGUCC